GGGUUCAAUCGCAAAACGGUGAGACAAUUCGGCAAUAUGAACUAAAAAAAUCAAGCGGGCUUAAAAACAAUUAGGCCUCUCAAAAUCACAUUUAGGGUUUAUUUCAACCAAUUCAUGCUCCACCCAAUCCUCACGCUCUCCGAUUCCACCGAAUCAUUCAUUCAUUCAUUCAUUCAAAUCACCAUUGUUUCCUGCAAUUGUUCUCUCAAAUCUCCAUUUCUUCUUGUUGUCAAUCGUGUUCAACUUCUUCAAUCGUGUUCAAUUCCUCAUUAAUUUCGAGAUCGAGUGAGUAGAAGAAGAUGACGGAGAACGAGAAGAAAGCUUCGCCGGUUUCCGAUUAGGUGUUAUGGAGGUCUCUGCAGAUCCUAGUGGGAUUAGCAUGUCACCUUUGUAGGAGAGCAGUGUUGAACAAGAUGACAUAAAGGAUCCUUUCGGUGAGGUACAUAAUUCUUUAGCCACUUACAUGCAUACUUAAUCAGGGAUAGCUAAGUAAUUGAAACUGGAAAUUCCAGUAAUUGAGUUUUUCUGUAAAACUCCGCCAGCAUCAAUAGAGCAAGCUUGUCAAAUCGGUUAUGGGUCAGCAGUUCAAAUGGUUUAAUCAGUUAUCAACAUUUGUUGGGAUGCCACGUUUUUGAAGCUCGUGUGGCUGUAACCCGGGCUUUGAAGGCUAAGGGACUGUACAAAGGGGAAGAGAAAAAUGAAAUGAGGCUAGGGAUAUGUUCUAGAAGCAAUGAUGUGGUUGAACCUGUGAUAAAACCACAGUGGUAUGUUAACUGCAAUGGUAUAGCUAAGGAAGCUCUUGAUGUUGUCAUGGAACGCACAUAUAAGAAAAGUGAGAUAAUGCCAAAACAAUAUGCUGCUGAAUGGAGAAGAUAGAAAAGUUGAACCUGAUCAUUCAGGAGACAAUGAAAGAACAAGAGAAAGGUUAAACGAAAUUAUUGCGGGGUUGGUAUGGAAAAAGAAAGAUAAAGCGGAGAAAAAGGCUAUGCACAAUAGGAUGGCACAAAUUGAAGCAAUUUAAAAAGUUAGGUCUCAAAACAUCUAUUCAUUGUAUGUAUGAUGUUAGGAUAACUUGACUAUGAUGGAUUAAUUUGUAAAUUAUAAAUGAAAUGUUGUAUAUAAUAUUGAAAAUUCGAUAAA
Long non-coding RNA from Helianthus annuus (common sunflower), 1140 nucleotides. RefSeq lists it as uncharacterized. The record is from RefSeq and is a predicted model, not a curated record. The transcript is spliced from 5 exons. NCBI's taxonomy places the organism in Eukaryota, Viridiplantae, Streptophyta, Magnoliopsida, Asterales, Asteraceae.